UACGUAGGGGGCAAGCGUUGUCCGGAAUCAUUGGGCGUAAAGCGCGUGUAGGCGGCUCGGUAAGUCCGCUCUGAAAGUCGGGGGCUCAACCCUCGGAUGCCGGUGGAUACUGUCGGGCUAGAGUGCGGAAGAGGCGAGUGGAAUUCCUGGUGUAGCGGUGAAAUGCGCAGAUAUCAGGAGGAACACCGGUGGCGAAGGCGGCUUUCUGGGGCUGUUCUGACGCUGAGGAGCGAAAGCUGGGGGAGCAAACAGG
This 253-nucleotide ribosomal RNA is filed under the name uncultured bacterium. RNAcentral describes it as "partial 16S ribosomal RNA". It matches the Rfam family "Bacterial small subunit ribosomal RNA", at positions 524 to 776 of the family's 1533-position model. The record is from RNAcentral.